RNAcentral lists this long non-coding RNA (299 nucleotides) under Homo sapiens (human). Its description in RNAcentral is "LNC_000821". The record is from RNAcentral. Lineage: Eukaryota; Metazoa; Chordata; Mammalia; Primates; Hominidae.
CCAGAGUGGCUAACAGAAGAAAACAUAUUGGAGAAAAAAUUUCUGAAGCACUGAUUUGUACUCCAAUUUGAUCUCUGAGGCUUAUUUAUCUUUAUUGCUGCAUUUUUCUUUCCUCCUGUUUCACUGUAUAAAGAGUUUCUAUGUAUCCACUUCAAGUCACAAACUUUUGCACUUAAUAGAUCUUCUCUUACGAUGGCUUUUCUUCUUAUACAGCUUUUAGAAUUUUCAUGACAGGAGACCUGUUUCUCAAAUGAGUUUUCAUUUUUCUUGUCUUUUGUUUCUCUCAGCUGUUUUUUUAC